AGUGAACGCUGGCGGUAGGCCUAACACAUGCAAGUCGAACGGCAGCACAGUAAGAGCUUGCUCUUACGGGUGGCGAGUGGCGGACGGGUGAGGAAUACAUCGGAAUCUACUUUUUCGUGGGGGAUAACGUAGGGAAACUUACGCUAAUACCGCAUACGACCUACGGGUGAAAGUAGGGGAUCUUCGGACCUUGCGCGAUUGAAUGAGCCGAUGUCGGAUUAGCUAGUUGGCGGGGUAAAGGCCCACCAAGGCGACGAUCCGUAGCUGGUCUGAGAGGAUGAUCAGCCACACUGGAACUGAGACACGGUCCAGACUCCUACGGGAGGCAGCAGUGGGGAAUAUUGGACAAUGGGCGCAAGCCUGAUCCAGCCAUACCGCGUGGGUGAAGAAGGCCCUCGGGUUGUAAAGCCCUUUUGUUGGGAAAGAAAAGCAGCAGGUUAAUACCCCGCUGUUCUGACGGUACCCAAAGAAUAAGCACCGGCUAACUUCGU
This 491-nucleotide ribosomal RNA is filed under the name uncultured bacterium. RNAcentral's name for it is "partial 16S ribosomal RNA". It matches the Rfam family "Bacterial small subunit ribosomal RNA", at positions 29 to 506 of the family's 1533-position model. The record is from RNAcentral.